Molecule: ribosomal RNA, 376 nt
Filed under: uncultured bacterium
Lineage: Bacteria
Description: bacterial SSU rRNA
Rfam family: Bacterial small subunit ribosomal RNA
Source: RNAcentral
GUUGAACGCUGGCGGCAUGCCUUACACAUGCAAGUCGAACGGUGACGCGGGGCAACCUGGCGACGAGUGGCGAACGGGUGAGUAAUAUAUCGGAACGUGCCCAGUAGUGGGGGAUAGCCCGGCGAAAGCCGGAUUAAUAACCGCAUGAGACCUGAGGGUGAAAGCGGGGGAGUCGCAAGACCUCGCGCUAUUGGAGCGGCCGAUAUCAGAUUAGGUAGUUGGUGGGGUAAAGGCCUACCAAGCCGACGAUCUGUAGCUGGUCUGAGAGGACGACCAGCCACACUGGGACUGAGACACGGCCCAGACCUCCUACCGGGAGGCAGCAGUGGGGAAUUUUGGACAAUGGGCGCAAGCCUGAUCCAGCCAUGCCGCGUGC